UACAGAGGGUGCGAGCGUUAAUCGGAAUUACUGGGCGUAAAGCGUGCGUAGACGGUUAUUUAAGUCAGAUGUGAAAGCCCCGGGCUCAACCUGGGAAUUGCAUUUGAGACUGAAUAGCUAGGGUGCGGUAGAGGGAAGCGGAAUUUCCGGUGUAGCGGUGAAAUGCGUAGAUAUCGGAAGGAACAUCAGUGGCGAAAGCGGCUUCCUGGACCAGCACCGACGUUCAGGCACGAAAGCCAGGGGAGCAAACGGG
This 253-nucleotide ribosomal RNA is filed under the name uncultured bacterium. Its description in RNAcentral is "partial 16S ribosomal RNA". It matches the Rfam family "Bacterial small subunit ribosomal RNA", at positions 524 to 776 of the family's 1533-position model. The record is from RNAcentral.